RNAcentral lists this long non-coding RNA (1518 nucleotides) under Bos indicus x Bos taurus (hybrid cattle). RNAcentral's name for it is "lncRNA (ENSBIXG00000009416.1)". The record is from RNAcentral. Lineage: Eukaryota; Metazoa; Chordata; Mammalia; Artiodactyla; Bovidae.
AUGUGGACGGAGCUCUGGUCCAGCCUCUGUGCCCACACACCCAGGGCCCCGGGCAUCUCCUUAGGGUCCUCUGAGGUAUACAUCCUGCUCCAACAGACUCUCCAAGGGGGCGACAGCAGGUGCCUAAACACUAAACCUAAAAAAAGGGCUGCCCUGCUGCCCAGGCGUCCUCAACACGAACACCACGCUUUUCCCAGAGGCCCCCAUUAUGUGAAGUCUUUGGGCCUUAAAGCCCACCCUACUGGAAAAAGGGGUAAGACACAGUCCCCCCGUCAGACACAGUCCCCCCAUCAGAAACAGUCCCCCCGUCAGACAGUCCCCUCAUCACACACAGUCCCCCCGUCACACACAGUAACCCCGUCACACACAGUACCCCCGUCAGACACAGUACCCCCGUCAGACACAGUCCCCCCAUCAGAAACAGUCCCCCCCUCAGACAGUCCCCCCAUCACACACAGUCCCCCCGUCACACACAGUACCCCUGUCACACACAGUACCCCCGUCAGACACAGUACCCCCGUCAGACACAGUCCUCCCCAUCACACACAGUCCCUCCAUCACACACAGUACCCCCGUCAGACACAGUACCCCCGUCAGACACAGUCCUCCCCAUCAGAAACAGUCCCCCCGUUAGACAGUCCCCCCAUCACACACAGUACCCCCAUCAGACACAGUCCUCCCCAUCAGACACAGUCCUCCCCAUCACACACAGUCCCCCCAUCACACACAGUCCCCCCGUCACACACAGUCCCCCCGUCACGCACAGUCCCCCCGUCAGACACAGUCCCCCCGUCAGACACAGUCCUCCCCAUCAGAAACAUUCCCAUCAGAAACAGGCCCCCAUCACACACAGUCCCCAUCACACACAGUCCCCCCAUCACACACAGUACCCCCAUCAGACACAGUCCUCCCCAUCACACACAGUCCCCCCAUCACACACAGUACCCCCGUCAGACACAGUACCCCCGUCAGACACAGUACCCCCAUCAGACACAGUCCUCCCCAUCAGAAACAGUCCCCCCGUCAGACAGUCCCCCCAUCACACACAGUCCCCCCAUCACACACAGUCCCCCCGUCACACACAGUCCCCCGUCACACACAGUACCCCCGUCAGACACAAUACCCCCAUCAGACACAGUCCUCCCCAUCACACACAGUCCCCCCAUCACACACAGUACCCCCAUCAGACACAGUCCUCCCCAUCACACACAGUCCCCCCAUCACACACAGUACCCCCGUCAGACACAGUACCCCCGUCAGACACAGUCCUCCCCAUCAGAAACAGUCCCCCCGUUAGACAGUCCCCCCAUCACACACAGUCCCCCCAUCACACACAGUCCCCCCAUCAGACACAGUCCCCCCAUCACACACAGUCCCCCAUCACACACAGUCCCCCAUCACACACAGUCCCCUCAUCAGACACUAUCCACCCCCGUCACACACAGUCCCCCGUCACACACAGUCCACACACAGUCCCCCCUCACACACAGUCCCCCCAUCAGGUGGAGCACCUCAUAG